Ipomoea nil (Japanese morning glory) is the source of this 667-nucleotide long non-coding RNA. RefSeq lists it as uncharacterized. The transcript has 6 exons. The record is from RefSeq and is a predicted model, not a curated record. Lineage: Eukaryota; Viridiplantae; Streptophyta; Magnoliopsida; Solanales; Convolvulaceae.
UAAGUUUUCAUAUAUUAUUCAAUUCGUAUAGUUAUCUUGGUUGUCUUGUUUCUUUAGUAUGUUUUAUGUUUGAAGUUUGAGUCUUUCUUGUGAUUGACAAAUAGGAGGGAGGUGAUGAGGAAGAUACAAUAAUAAGGGUUUAUUUCCAUAUGAGUUGUUUGUGAAGCUUUUUAACUCAAAAAAGGUUGAAUUACGUCCAUUUGGCCUCACAAAUUGCGGGAACAGUUGUUAUGCUAAUGCUGUCCUUCAGUGCCUAGCGUUUACUCCACCCUUCACGGCUUACUUCCUUCAAGGCUUCCAUUCAAAAGGAUGUGCAAAGAAAGAUUGGUGUUUCAACUCUGAAUUUGAGAGUUUAGUUCUAAAAGCAAAGAAUGGGAAUUCUCUGCUCUCCCCUAUCCGGAUAAUUUCCCAUUUGGAGAAUAUUGGGAGCAGUCUUGGUAAUGGGAGAGAAGAAGAUGCUCAUGAAUUUCUCAGGUAUGUCAUUGAGACCAUGCAAUCUGUUUGCUUAAAGGAAGCAGGUGUCCGUACAUCAUGCUCUUUGGAAGAGCAGACAAGUCUCAUUGGGCUUACAUUUGGGGGCUUCCUUCGUUCAAAGAUUGAGUGCAUGAGCUGUGGAGGCAAAUCUGAGAGGCAUGAAAGAAUAAUGGACCUUAUAGUUGAAUUGAUG